RNAcentral lists this long non-coding RNA (961 nucleotides) under Trifolium pratense (red clover). RNAcentral's name for it is "long non-coding RNA (TPRA_LNC007349)". Lineage: Eukaryota; Viridiplantae; Streptophyta; Magnoliopsida; Fabales; Fabaceae. The record is from RNAcentral.
CAAUUUGAAAAACAAAAAAAAAAUAAUGGUUAAAUAUACCACAGUUUCUUUUUAACUAAUUUUUUUAUUUAUUUUUUUGAUAACAAUUUAACUAAUUUGUUUCUAUUUUCUUUUCUGACAAUUUUUAAUUUUUAAUUUUGAUAGAUUUGACAAAUUAUUUCUAUUUUCUAUAUAAUAUAUUUGGAUAUAAACCAAAAAUAAAAAAAGUAAAUAUUUAAUACAUAGUAUGUACAAAGUAAAAAAAAAGUAAAUAUUUAAUUAGUCAAAAAAAGGCAAAUAUUUAAGAAAAAAAUAUAAAUAGCAGAAUAUUUAUCACCCGUAAUUAUAGUUAGAGUAUUUAAUUAGCUGACGUGUGUAAUAAAUUAUUACUCUUUAUGAAUAAUAAAGAAAACCGCUAUUACUUGUAGAGGAAGUAGAAAACCUACCAUAUGUGUACCAAAAAAAAGAAAGACUAAAAGAAUUUCACCCAAAACGAAUGUUUGCCCGUUUCUCAUGUUAUCUCACCUCAAUUCAUACUAGCCAGAGAGGUUCCAACUCAUGCAAUUUGAUCACCAAAUCACUAAAAUAAGAAGCAUAUUAAAUUUUCUUUCAUAUAAGGGUUUCUAGAUAAAUGUAAAGUCAUGAUCAUUAUCAUCAUAUGUUGAUGAUGAUGUUGAUGAAUGAUGACUAGCCAAUGCGCCUAAAAUUAAAUCCUACUGUACGAGUCACAUGGUAAGAUAUUUUUUCUACCCUAAAAAAUCUAAUAAAAAUAUUAAAUUUAAUUAAUUUUUUUUUGAAUAUGAAUUUUUCUUAAUAAUUUUUUGCUGAACAACAAAAGAAAUGCUAAACUCAAAUUAUUUUACGAUAUAAUACUGGGGACAAAUUAGUGAAUCGGUAAUAUUAUCACAUAUAAAAGUAUUGGAAAUUACCACAAUGAAUUGAUUCAAAUGGUAAGGAUCUUAGUCCCAUUAAGCAUAUGAUC